This 789-nucleotide ribosomal RNA is filed under the name Xiphinema hispanum. RNAcentral describes it as "eukaryotic LSU rRNA". It matches the Rfam family "Eukaryotic large subunit ribosomal RNA", at positions 356 to 919 of the family's 3401-position model. Lineage: Eukaryota; Metazoa; Nematoda; Enoplea; Dorylaimida; Longidoridae. The record is from RNAcentral.
GAGGAAAGUUGAAAAGAACUUUGAAGAGAGAGUUCAAAAGGGCGUGAAACCGCUUAGAAUAAAACGGACGGAGCCGUCUGUAGCCCGUCGGAAUCAGUCGAAUCGACGCGUGAAAGCGAGUACGACACGAAAACGGAACGAAAGUCCGGUCGUCUCGUAGUAAGAAAAAGUAGCGCUCGUUCGAUGCAUUUCCGAAGGGUAAGCGCCGCGACCGAUGUCGAAGGCUAGCGAAACUGAGGGAUUGAGGUAGAGCUCGUUCGCGAGUCUCGUUACCAGUCCCUCGGUACGAAUAAAAUUCGCUAGACCCUAGCAUCGAGAAAAGGAUAACGAACGUCGGUGAACUAUACGCUCGCCAGUUACGACGGAAGUACGGCCGUUCGAUCGUCGCCUGCUCGCAGGUUGCGGUUAGUAAUCAGGUUCGUAUCCGAAGUCGUUGGUGACGUUUCGACGUUCGGGCGUCCGCGGUGUCCGAGUCGGUCACCCGUCCGACCCGUCUUGAAACACGGACCAAGGAGUCUAACGUAAGCGCGAGCUAAUGGGCGGAAAACCCAUAAGCGAAAUAAAAGUAAAAGCCGUUUCGGACGGCCGAGGUACGAUCCCUAAGAACGAAAGUAUCUACGGGCGCAGUACCGUCCCGUCCCGACCGCUCGUCGGUAGGGCGGAGAUAGAGUGCAUACGUUGGGACCCGAAAGAUGGUGAACUAUGCCUGAGCAGAGCGAAGCCAGAGGAAACUCUGGUGGAGGUUCGUAGCGGUUCUGACGUGCAAAUCGAUCGUCAGACUUGGGUAUA